UGAAGAAUUACACCACCACCAACAGCAGUGAUAGUCUUAGAGAAUAUAUAAGGAAGCAUACCUUUCAAGAAGAAAAAAAAUCUCAAUCAAGUAUGGUGGGUGGCUUCCAGAAGUUAUUGUGGCAUGCAUGAAGACAAAGGGGAACAAUAAAAUACAGUUAAACAAAGAGUAGCCUGCAACAUGAAGGAGAUUUUCUGGUUGAAAGACAGUCUGGUGGAUAUGCUCUGGAAUAUUCUCAUUCAUUACCAAAAGACAGAAAAUUAUCUCUAAUUGAUUUAGCUCCAAUCUCAAGUUACCACUGUGGGAGGUGAAUUCUCUGGAGAGCUGAGUGAAUGAACCUGGCAAAGCAGCAAAGUUGCACAGGAAGCCACUGUUUAAUGGGAAAAUGUCCAUUCUGUUAUGAAUAAUGGCAAAGAACACCUCAGCCUUCAAACAAUUCAAGUUGAAAGAAGUUCCCUGCAAAAGGGCCAGUAACCUGGAUGAACAGAAGCACACCUAACUCAAAGCCUUGCAGACCACUUAACAGAAAGCAGUUUCCUAUAUCCAACUGCUUAAUCUAAAAAUCCGAUAGGAAUUAGCUGCCACAACCACCACAGGUCUCUUCAGGCUUAAAAAGGUCGACAUAUCCUGUUUGAGAACAUCUGCUACAUGUUCUGGUCAUAUGGUAACCCUCAGGAAAUUGUUCUCUGAGGCAAAGGCACAUUUUUGGAGCCUCAUGCCAUUUAAAAACAAGCAUUUGAAGUCUUAAUUGCCACCUACAAGAUGAUUCAUGCAAAGAAAACCUCUUGAUUUCAGCCAAUGAAAAUUUUGUGCCUUGAGAAACCAUGUUAAACAGUAUGAUUAAGGAUCAUGCAAAUGAGAAAGUUUAUUUUAUUUACUGCUCCAAAGGAAUCCAUGGCAGUAAACUGUGUUCACAACAUGCCGGGAAUUGACAAUGUAUACAGUCUCUGUACAUUCUUUAGUCUGAGUUGGGUCUUGGAGUCAAGAUGGUGGUGUAAAAGCAGGGACUUGGCCUGAGAUCUCCCCAAAUCUCUUCAGAUAUCCCUAUAAAAGCACUCUGAACAAAUUCUAAAGUGGCAGAAACCACAAAGAGACAGAGUGAGGCAGAUUUCCAGCCCAAGACAACUUGGAAGGCUGACAGGAAAGGUCUGUUGCACUACAACCGAGUAGUAUCCAGCAUUCAGGGCACAGCAGCAGACACAGAAGAGGCAAAGCCACUCUGGGGGACUGAAUCACCAGCAGCAGUGACAAGUUCCAGUCUUCUCAGUGCACAGAUGCCAGAGACAACUUAGAAGGUCAGCUGGAGGGGUCUGUCAGAACUGGGUAAGAGAGAAGCUCAGUCCAACACAGGGCUGCAGGGCAUUCCAAUGCAGUCCCUGCAUCAGCAAACCAGGAACAGGCUCUGGGAGUGACUGAAUCAGCAGCAGUAAUGGUGGCAGCAGUGGCAGCACUGCUCCAGGAGCUAUUAGCCCACAGACUGAAUGUCUGAAAGUCACGUAUUUAAACUUCCUGCAGCCAAGAUGGUGGAGUAAGAAGUAAGUUACUCUCAUCUUCUUUUAUUGACCUUGAAAAACUCAGAGAAUAUUGCCCCAGGAAAAAUUUUGAAAUAAUAGAGUCAGCAGAAGGAUAAGAUGCAGCAGUCUUUUAGCUACCUAGGUUAGGGGGAUUAAUGGGAAAAGUCUCUCUUUCUGUGGCUGAAAGGGACCAGUACAAGUUAGAGGGCAUCCCAGCAAGCCAGUGGAAAGUCCCACCUCAGCAAACCAGUAACCAGAUCCCUAGCCCCCCUACAAGAAGUCUGGGACAGUGCCCCCUGUGCCCCAGAAGCAGAGAUCAACUUAAAAAGCCAGAAAAAAGAGCUAGCAGCAACACAGAAAAACAGUGACCAUAAGAAAGUAUCUUGGUGACAGGGAAGAUCAAAACAAAUUCAGGCAAGGAUAACAUUGUCAAUAUAUCCAUA
This is a long non-coding RNA of Phascolarctos cinereus (koala), 1957 nucleotides long. RefSeq lists it as uncharacterized. NCBI's taxonomy places the organism in Eukaryota, Metazoa, Chordata, Mammalia, Diprotodontia, Phascolarctidae. The record is from RefSeq and is a predicted model, not a curated record.